AAUGCUCCCCCUCUACCAUAUUUCCUUGAACUCGGGGUCGUGGGACUGAGCCUGUAGGGGCCAGCACACCCUCCUGCUGGGGCUUCUCCAGAGUGUGUCAUCCUCCCUGUCCCCAGAUCAGGUAUCUCUGGCACAGGGCUAGCAC
Equus caballus (horse) is the source of this 145-nucleotide microRNA precursor. The record is from Ensembl. Lineage: Eukaryota; Metazoa; Chordata; Mammalia; Perissodactyla; Equidae.